Molecule: ribosomal RNA, 433 nt
Filed under: uncultured bacterium
Lineage: Bacteria
Description: partial 16S ribosomal RNA
Rfam family: Bacterial small subunit ribosomal RNA
Source: RNAcentral
AACGAACGCUGGCGGCAUGCCUAACACAUGCAAGUCGAACGAGACCUUCGGGUCUAGUGGCGCACGGGUGCGUAACGCGUGGGAACCUGCCCUUAGGUUCGGAAUAACUCCCCGAAAGGGGUGCUAAUACCGGAUAAUGUCUUCGGACCAAAGAUUUAUCGCCUUUGGAUGGGCCCGCGUUGGAUUAGCUAGUUGGUAGGGUAAAAGCCUACCAAGGCGACGAUCCAUAGCUGGUCUGAGAGGAUGAUCAGCCACACUGGGACUGAGACACGGCCCAGGCUCCUACGGGAGGCAGCAGUGGGGAAUAUUGGACAAUGGGCGAAAGCCUGAUCCAGCAAUGCCGCGUGAGUGAUGAAGGCCUUAGGGUUGUAAAGCUCUUUUAACCGGGAUGAUAAUGACAGUACCGGGAGAAUAAGCUCCGGCUAACUCCGUG